This 1245-nucleotide ribosomal RNA is filed under the name Microbacterium algeriense. RNAcentral's name for it is "bacterial SSU rRNA". It matches the Rfam family "Bacterial small subunit ribosomal RNA", at positions 95 to 1350 of the family's 1533-position model. The record is from RNAcentral. Lineage: Bacteria; Bacillati; Actinomycetota; Actinomycetes; Micrococcales; Microbacteriaceae.
GUGGCGAACGGGUGAGUAACACGUGAGCAACCUGCCCCUGACUCUGGGAUAAGCGCUGGAAACGGCGUCUAAUACUGGAUAUGUGACGUGAUCGCAUGGUCUGCGUCUGGAAAGAAUUUCGGUUGGGGAUGGGCUCGCGGCCUAUCAGCUUGUUGGUGAGGUAAUGGCUCACCAAGGCGUCGACGGGUAGCCGGCCUGAGAGGGUGACCGGCCACACUGGGACUGAGACACGGCCCAGACUCCUACGGGAGGCAGCAGUGGGGAAUAUUGCACAAUGGGCGCAAGCCUGAUGCAGCAACGCCGCGUGAGGGAUGACGGCCUUCGGGUUGUAAACCUCUUUUAGCAGGGAAGAAGCGAAAGUGACGGUACCUGCAGAAAAAGCGCCGGCUAACUACGUGCCCAGCAGCCGCGGUAAUACGUAGGGCGCAAGCGUUAUCCGGAAUUAUUGGGCGUAAAGAGCUCGUAGGCGGUUUGUCGCGUCUGCUGUGAAAUCCGGAGGCUCAACCUCCGGCCUGCAGUGGGUACGGGCAGACUAGAGUGCGGUAGGGGAGAUUGGAAUUCCUGGUGUAGCGGUGGAAUGCGCAGAUAUCAGGAGGAACACCGAUGGCGAAGGCAGAUCUCUGGGCCGUAACUGACGCUGAGGAGCGAAAGGGUGGGGAGCAAACAGGCUUAGAUACCCUGGUAGUCCACCCCGUAAACGUUGGGAACUAGUUGUGGGGUCCAUUCCACGGAUUCCGUGACGCAGCUAACGCAUUAAGUUCCCCGCCUGGGGAGUACGGCCGCAAGGCUAAAACUCAAAGGAAUUGACGGGGACCCGCACAAGCGGCGGAGCAUGCGGAUUAAUUCGAUGCAACGCGAAGAACCUUACCAAAGGCUUGACAUAUACGAGAACGGGCCCAGAAAUGGUCAACUCUUUGGACACUCGUAAACAGGUGGUGCAUGGUUGUCGUCAGCUCGUGUCGUGAGAUGUUGGGUUAAGUCCCGCAACGAGCGCAACCCUCGUUCUAUGUUGCCAGCACGUAAUGGUGGGAACUCAUGGGAUACUGCCGGGGUCAACUCGGAGGAAGGUGGGGAUGACGUCAAAUCAUCAUGCCCCUUAUGUCUUGGGCUUCACGCAUGCUACAAUGCCCGGUACAAAGGGCUGCAAUACCGCGAGGUGGAGCGAAUCCCAAAAAGCCGGUCCCAGUUCGGAUUGAGGUCUGCAACUCGACCUCAUGAAGUCGGAGUCGCUAGUAAUCGCAGAUC